GGUAUUGAAAUAAGAUUUUAAAUGAGUGCUAAGAGAAUGAUUAAACAAUUAAAAGCUUUCUUUAAUUAAAAAAUUAAAUUUAAUUUUUUUAGUGCAAAAGCAAAAAUAAAAUUUAGGGACAAGAAGACCCUAUGAAUUUUUAUUGUUAAUAAUUAAAAUUUAAGUUAUUAAUAAUUUAAUUGGGGCGAUAAAAAAAGAAUAAGUAUCUUUUUAAUAAUAAAAUAAGUUCCGUUUUUAGCGAUUAAAUGAAAUAAAUACUCUAGGGAUAACAGCGUAAUAAUUUUGGAUAGUUCAUAUAGAUAAAAUAGUUUGCGACCUCGAUGUUGGAUUAGGAUUCUUUUUUGGUGAAGAA
Molecule: ribosomal RNA, 352 nt
Filed under: Ixodes scapularis (black-legged tick)
Lineage: Eukaryota; Metazoa; Arthropoda; Arachnida; Ixodida; Ixodidae
Description: partial 16S ribosomal RNA
Source: RNAcentral